This 555-nucleotide ribosomal RNA is filed under the name uncultured bacterium. RNAcentral's name for it is "bacterial SSU rRNA". It matches the Rfam family "Bacterial small subunit ribosomal RNA", at positions 777 to 1344 of the family's 1533-position model. The record is from RNAcentral.
AAUAGAUACCCCGGUAGUCCUAGCCGUAAACGAUGGACACUAGGUGUUGGUGGUAUCAACCCCACCAGUGCCGAAGCUAACGCAUUAAGUGUCCCGCCUGGGGAGUACGGCCGCAAGGCUAAAACUCAAAGGAAUUGACGGGGCCCCGCACAAGCAGCGGAGCGUGGGGUUUAAUUCGAUGCAACGCGAAGAACCUUACCAGGGCUUGACAUGACCAGGAAUCCGGCGGAAACGUCGGCGCCCCGCAAGGGGCCUGGCCACAGGUGUUGCAUGGCUGUCGUCAGCUCGUGUCGUGAGGUGUUGGGUUAAGUCCCGCAACGAGCGCAACCCCUACCGUGUGUUGUAUCACUCACACGGGACUGCCGAGAGAAACUCGGAGGAAGGCGGGGAUGACGUCAAGUCAGCAUGGCCCUUACGUCCUGGGCUGCACCCACGCUACAAUGGCCGGUACAACGGGCUGCGAAACCGCGAGGUGGAGCAAAUCCCUUAAAGCCGGUCUCAGUUCGGAUUGUAGGCUGCAACUCGCCUACAUGAAGCCGGAGUUGCUAGUAACCG